UACAGAGGUGGCAAGCGUUGUUCGGAAUUACUGGGCGUAAAGGGCGCGUAGGCGGCCUUCUAAGUCAGACGUGAAAUCCCCCGGCUUAACCUGGGAACUGCGUCUGAUACUGAUAGUCUUGAGUAUGGGAGAGGUGAGUGGAACUGCGAGUGUAGAGGUGAAAUUCGUAGAUAUUCGCAAGAACACCAGUGGCGAAGGCGGCUCACUGGCCCAUUACUGACGCUGAGGCACGAAAGCGUGGGGAGCAAACAGGG
RNAcentral lists this ribosomal RNA (254 nucleotides) under uncultured bacterium. Its description in RNAcentral is "partial 16S ribosomal RNA". It matches the Rfam family "Bacterial small subunit ribosomal RNA", at positions 524 to 777 of the family's 1533-position model. The record is from RNAcentral.